UGCAAACUAACGAAUAAGAGGUCACGCCUGCCCAGUGACUCUAAGUUUAACGGCCGCGGUAUUUUGACCGUGCAAAGGUAGCGCAAUCACUUGUCUUUUAAAUGGAGACCUGUAUGAAUGGCAUCACGAGGGCUUAACUGUCUCCUUUCUUAGGCCAAUGAAAUUGAUCUCCCCGUGCAGAAGCGGGGAUAACAACAUAAGACGAGAAGACCCUAUGGAGCUUUAGACACUAAGACAGUUUACGUCAAAUCUCCCUGCAUAAAGAACUGAACUAAAUAAGUCCUGUCCUAAUGUCUUUGGUUGGGGCGACCCCGGGGAGAUAAAGAACCCCCAUGUGGAACGGAAAUAUAUUUCCAAAACCAAGAGCCACCGCUCUAAGAAGCAGAACUUCUGACCAAUCUAGAUCCGGCAAAGCCGAUCAACGGACCGAGUUACCCUAGGGAUAACAGCGCAAUCCCCUUCUAGAGUCCCUAUCGACAAGGGGGUUUACGACCUCGAUGUUGGAUCAGGACAUCCUAAUGGUGCAGCCGCUAUUAAGGGUUCGUUUGUUCAACGAUUAAAGUCCUACGUGAUCUUGAGUUCAGACCGGA
Molecule: ribosomal RNA, 590 nt
Filed under: Hemigymnus melapterus
Lineage: Eukaryota; Metazoa; Chordata; Actinopteri; Labriformes; Labridae
Description: partial 16S ribosomal RNA
Rfam family: Bacterial large subunit ribosomal RNA
Source: RNAcentral